RNAcentral lists this ribosomal RNA (447 nucleotides) under uncultured bacterium. RNAcentral describes it as "partial 16S ribosomal RNA". It matches the Rfam family "Bacterial small subunit ribosomal RNA", at positions 29 to 523 of the family's 1533-position model. The record is from RNAcentral.
AACGAACGCUGGCGGCAGGCUUAACACAUGCAAGUCGAACGCCCCGCAAGGGGAGUGGCAGACGGGUGAGUAACACGUGGGAACCUUCCUCGUUGUACGGAACAACUCAGGGAAACUUUAGCUAAUACCGUAUACGUCCGAGAGGAGACAGAUUUAUCGCAAUGAGACGGGCCCGCGUCGGAUUAGCUAGUUGGUGGGGUAACGGCCUACCAAGGCAACGAUCCGUAGCUGAUAUGAGAGGAUGAUCAGCCACACUGGGACUGAGACACGGCCCAGACUCCUACGGGAGGCAGCAGUGGGGAAUCUUGGACAAUGGGCGCAAGCCUGAUCCAGCCAUGCCGCGUGAGUGAAGAAGGCCUUCGGGUUGUAAAGCUCUUUUGUCAGGGACGAUAAUGACGGUACCUGAAGAAUAAGCCCCGGCAAACUUCGUGCCAGCAGCCGCGGUAA